RNAcentral lists this ribosomal RNA (270 nucleotides) under uncultured Desulfocapsa sp. Its description in RNAcentral is "partial 16S ribosomal RNA". It matches the Rfam family "Bacterial small subunit ribosomal RNA", at positions 1113 to 1382 of the family's 1533-position model. Lineage: Bacteria; Pseudomonadati; Thermodesulfobacteriota; Desulfobulbia; Desulfobulbales; Desulfocapsaceae. The record is from RNAcentral.
AGUUGUCCAUCAUUCAGUUGGGCACUCUAAAGAGACUGCCGGUAGUCAAACCGGAGGAAGGUGGGGAUGACGUCAAGUCCUCAUGGCCUUUAUGACCAGGGCUACACACGUACUACAAUGGCCGGUACAAAGGGCAGCCACUUAGCGAUAAGGAGCCAAUCCCGUAAAGCCGGUCUCAGUCCGGAUUGGAGUCUGCAACUCGACUCCAUGAAGUUGGAAUCGCUAGUAAUCGCAGAUCAGCACGCUGCGGUGAAUACGUUCCCGGGCCCU